ACAUAUGCUGUCGUACGAUGAACCACCUUCGGGUGGGGAUUAGUGGCGAACGGGUGAGUAACACGUGGGCAAUCUGCCCUGCACUCUGGGACAAACACCACUAAUGGGGUCUAAUACCGGAUACUGAACCGCUUGGGCAUCCAGGCGGUUCGAAAGCUCCGGCGGUGCAGGAUGAGCCCGCGGCCUAUCAGCUUGUUGGUGAGGUAACACGAACCAAGGUUACGACGGGUAGCCGGCCUGAGAGGGCGACCGGCCACACUGGGACUGAGACACGGCCCAGACUCCUACGGGAGGCAGCAGUGGGGAAUAUUGCACAAUGGGCGAAAGCCUGAUGCAGCGACGCCGCGUGAGGGAUGACGGCCUUCGGGUUGUAAACCUCUUUCAGCAGGGAAGAAGCGAAAGUGACGGUACCUGCAGAAGAAGCGCCGGCUAACUACGUGCCAUUAGCCGCGGUAAUACGAUUGGCGCGAGCGUUGUCCGGAAUUAUUGGGCGUAAAGAGCUCG
Molecule: ribosomal RNA, 504 nt
Filed under: actinobacterium CT3b
Lineage: Bacteria; Bacillati; Actinomycetota; Actinomycetes
Description: bacterial SSU rRNA
Rfam family: Bacterial small subunit ribosomal RNA
Source: RNAcentral